RNAcentral lists this ribosomal RNA (420 nucleotides) under bacterium. RNAcentral's name for it is "partial 16S ribosomal RNA". It matches the Rfam family "Bacterial small subunit ribosomal RNA", at positions 355 to 776 of the family's 1533-position model. The record is from RNAcentral.
UGGGGGAUAUUGCACAAUGGGCGAAAGCCUGAUGCAGCGACGCCGCGUGGGGGAUGAAGGCUUUCGGGUUGUAAACCUCUUUCGCUAUCGAACAAGGCCCGCUUAGGGUGGGUUGAGGGUAGGUGGAGAAGAAGCGCCGGCUAACUACGUGCCAGCAGCCGCGGUAAUACGUAGGGCGCGAGCGUUGUCCGGAAUUAUUGGGCGUAAAGGGCUUGUAGGCGGCUUGUUGCGCCUGCUGUGAAAACGCGGGGCUUAACUUCGCGCGUGCAGUGGGUACGGGCAGGCUUGAGUGUGGUAGGGGUGACUGGAGUUCCAGGUGUAGCGGUGGAAUGCGCAGAUAUCUGGGGGCGCACCGAUGGCGAAGGCAGGUCACUGGGCCAUUACUGUCGCUGAGGCGCGAAAGAAUGGGUAGCGAACAGG